GAUGAACGCUGGCGGCGUGCCUAAUACAUGCAAGUCGAGCGAACAGACGAGGAGCUUGCUCCUCUGACGUUAGCGGCGGACGGGUGAGUAACACGUGGAUAACCUACCUAUAAGACUGGGAUAACUUCGGGAAACCGGAGCUAAUUCCGGAUAAUAUAUUGAACCGCAUGGUUCAAUAGUGAAAGACGGUUUUGCUGUCACUUAUAGAUGGAUCCGCGCCGCAUUAGCUAGUUGGUAAGGUAACGGCUUACCAAGGCAACGAUGCGUAGCCGACCUGAGAGGGUGAUCGGCCACACUGGAACUGAGACACGGUCCAGACUCCUACGGGAGGCAGCAGUAGGGAAUCCUCCGCAAAGGGCGAAAGCCUGACGGAGCAACGCCGCGUGAGUGAUGAAGGUCUUCGGAUCGUAAAACUCUGUUAUUAGGGAAGAACAAAUGUGUAAGUAACUAUGCACGUCUUGACGGUACCUAAUCAGAAAGCCACGGCUAACUACGUG
RNAcentral lists this ribosomal RNA (497 nucleotides) under uncultured bacterium. RNAcentral's name for it is "partial 16S ribosomal RNA". It matches the Rfam family "Bacterial small subunit ribosomal RNA", at positions 28 to 507 of the family's 1533-position model. The record is from RNAcentral.